Molecule: small nucleolar RNA, 129 nt
Organism: Esox lucius (northern pike)
Lineage: Eukaryota; Metazoa; Chordata; Actinopteri; Esociformes; Esocidae
Gene: SNORA71
Rfam family: Small nucleolar RNA SNORA71
About the family: The members of this family belong to the H/ACA class of snoRNAs which bind a number of proteins (including dyskerin, Gar1p and Nop10p) to form snoRNP complexes. This class of snoRNAs are thought to guide the sites of modification of uridines to pseudouridines by forming direct base pairing interactions with substrate RNAs.
Source: Ensembl
CCCUGUCUCGAAAGUGACUAUGGCUUUGAUUAGUGGCCCGGUCAUUGAUAAUACAGGAAGAGUCAAAUGAGAGCCUUUCCCGUGUCCGAUGGGUCAUAAGUCCCUACCGAACCCCGUUUCUCUCAGACA